RNAcentral lists this ribosomal RNA (1198 nucleotides) under Segatella copri. RNAcentral describes it as "partial 23S ribosomal RNA". It matches the Rfam family "Bacterial large subunit ribosomal RNA", at positions 1085 to 2295 of the family's 2925-position model. Lineage: Bacteria; Pseudomonadati; Bacteroidota; Bacteroidia; Bacteroidales; Prevotellaceae. The record is from RNAcentral.
UAUGACAGCUAGGAUGUUGGCUUGGAAGCAGCCAUUCAUUCAAAGAGUGCGUAACAGCUCACUAGUCGAGGGUCCGGGCAUGGAUAAUAAUCGGGUAUAAGGCAGACACCGAAGGCGCGGGAUAGCAAUUAUAAAAGUAUCGGUAGGGGAGCAUACUCACAGCGUCGAAUGGUGUACGUAAGUUAUCCUGGAGCGGUGAGUAAAGCAAAUGUAGGAAUAAGUAACGAUAAGGAGGGUUAGAUUCCCUCCCGCUGUAAGACCAAGGUUUCCCGGGCAAUGCCAAUCAGCCCGGGGUCAGUCGGGUCCUAAGUCUAAGCCGAACGGCGAUGGCGAUGGCAGAGACGGUUAAUAUUCCGUCACUGCCGCAUGGGGCGACGUGGAGACGGAGCAGUGAAACCACCGCGGGGCGACGGAAGUCCCCGUUGAAGAGUGUAGGCGUUGAGGAUGGCAGGCAAAUCCACCGUCCGAGCUGAACUUGAGAGUACGGAGUCCUCCUCGGAGGAAUCUGAUAGUGUGGGUAAUCAUACUCCCGAGAAAAUCCGCUAAGCUUAACCCAUGCGGCACCCGUACCGCAAACGGACACACGUGGUCGGGUAGAACAUACUAAGGCGUUGAGAGAUUCAUGGUUAAGGAACUAGGCAAAUUGACCCUGUAACUUCGGGAUAAAGGGUCCUCGUGAUGAGCGAGGCGCAGAGAAUAGGUCCAGGCAACUGUUUAACAAAAACACAGGGCUGUGCAAACUCGAAAGAUGACGUAUACAGCCUGACACCUGCCCGGUGCCGGAAGGUUAAGAGGAGAUGUCACUCGCAAGAGGAAGCAUUGAAUUGAAGCCCCGGUAAACGGCGGCCGUAACUAUAACGGUCCUAAGGUAGCGAAAUUCCUUGUCGGGUAAGUUCCGACCUGCACGAAUGGUGUAAUGAUCCGGACGCUGUCUCAACCAUGAGCUCAGUGAAAUUGUAGUAUCGGUGAAGAUGCCGAUUACCCGCGAUGGGACGAAAAGACCCCGUGAACCUUUACUACAGCUUAGCAUUGACCUUGGUCAUCCGAUGUGUAGGAUAGGCCGGAGGCUUCGAAGCGGGAGCGCCAGCUUUCGUGGAGCCAUCCUUGAAAUACGGCCCUUUGGCUGUCUGAGGUCUAACGCGCAGAUGCGCGGACACUGCUUGGUGGGUAGUUUGACUGGGGUGGUCGCCUCCAAAAG